GGACAGGAACCUGAAACUUCUCUACGUCAGCAUCUUGGUGCUGAGCACAAGCUUCUGGUAGCCAUUUCUGCUUUUGUUGUAGAGGUCACCAAAUAAAAGCAAGUUUAGGCAUAUACGUUUUUAAAGACACAGCUCUUCAGGGGUGGCUUUUUGUAGCUGUCUGCUACCAGACAGGAUACCAGACAGGAAAAUAGGAGUAGUGCCAUUAAGCCCUUUGCCUCAUAUUUGUUCAGGCUGUAGUGCAGCAAUGAGAAGUGCUUUUGCAUUGUGUAGAAGAACUGUGAAGUGACUAAGAUUUGCC
RNAcentral lists this long non-coding RNA (301 nucleotides) under Dromaius novaehollandiae (emu). RNAcentral's name for it is "lncRNA (ENSDNVG00000003550.1)". Lineage: Eukaryota; Metazoa; Chordata; Aves; Casuariiformes; Dromaiidae. The record is from RNAcentral.